UUUAACCACAAACAUUGAGGGUCUUUUGCUGAUUUCUGACAUUAUUCGACUGGUUUAAAAGUUGUCGCAUUGGUGAACCAAAUCCAGAGAGAUCUUUCAGCUUCUUCCAUCAUCAAUUUUGAUAUCAACUGCAAAUUUUCAUCUUGGACCUAGGACAUGACUUAUAAGAAUAAGCUCGUGCUUCUGUUUGUCGCGGUGGUGCUGCUCGCGUUGGUGGCUGCCCAGGACAAUCAUGAUGACGAUGACCUACCGGACUAUGAACGGGCAGAGCAGGUGAAAUUGGAGGCUGCGGAGGCGCCAGGGCUAUCGCGGGUGCGCCGUGUACCACCACCGACGAUUUCCCUGAAUCGCUAUCGGCGUCAACCUCAUCGUUGGACAAUUUGGGUGUAAUUUAAAGUUUCAUUUUUUGAUUGGAACAUAAUUCAUUUUCUUAAUAAACAUUGAUUAAUUUGAAACAAAACCCGAACUAAAAAUAAAUGAAAAGAGAAAGAAAAAUAAUGUUAAUCAUGAUAAAAGUUACAAUAAAAAAAAAAAAAAUUCC
Molecule: long non-coding RNA, 541 nt
Organism: Neocloeon triangulifer
Lineage: Eukaryota; Metazoa; Arthropoda; Insecta; Ephemeroptera; Baetidae
Exons: 3
Source: RefSeq, a predicted model, not a curated record